UGGGGAAUAUUGCACAAUGGGCGCAAGCCUGACGCAGCCAUGCCGCGUGUAUGAAGAAGGCCUUCGGGUUGUAAAGUACUUUCAGCGAGGAGGAAGGCGGUAAGGUUAAUAACCUUAUCGAUUGACGUUACUCGCAGAAGAAGCACCGGCUAACUCCGUGCCAGCAGCCGCGGUAAUACGGAGGGUGCAAGCGUUAAUCGGAAUUACUGGGCGUAAAGCGCACGCAGGCGGUCUGUCAAGUCGGAUGUGAAAUCCCCGGGCUCAACCUGGGAACUGCAUUCGAAACUGGCAGGCUAGAGUCUUGUAGAGGGGGGUAGAAUUCCAGGUGUAGCGGUGAAAUGCGUAGAGAUCUGGAGGAAUACCGGUGGCGAAGGCGGCCCCCUGGACAAAGACUGACGCUCAGGUGCGAAAGCGUGGGGAGCAAACA
This 427-nucleotide ribosomal RNA is filed under the name uncultured bacterium. Its description in RNAcentral is "partial 16S ribosomal RNA". It matches the Rfam family "Bacterial small subunit ribosomal RNA", at positions 355 to 774 of the family's 1533-position model. The record is from RNAcentral.